Molecule: transfer RNA, 73 nt
Filed under: Bacteroidota bacterium
Lineage: Bacteria; Pseudomonadati; Bacteroidota
Also listed under: 3 other names
Description: Bacteroidetes bacterium (marine metagenome) tRNA-Thr
Rfam family: tRNA
About the family: Transfer RNA (tRNA) molecules are approximately 80 nucleotides in length.
Source: RNAcentral
GCCUCUUUAGCUCAGUUGGUAGAGCGGUUCACUCGUAAUGAACAGGUCGCCGGUUCAAGUCCGGCAGGAGGCU